This 391-nucleotide ribosomal RNA is filed under the name uncultured Oscillatoria sp. RNAcentral's name for it is "bacterial SSU rRNA". It matches the Rfam family "Bacterial small subunit ribosomal RNA", at positions 376 to 770 of the family's 1533-position model. Lineage: Bacteria; Bacillati; Cyanobacteriota; Cyanophyceae; Oscillatoriales; Oscillatoriaceae. The record is from RNAcentral.
CGAAAGCCUGACGGAGCAAGACCGCGUGGGGGAAGAAGGCUCUUGGGUUGUAAACCCCUUUUCUCUGGGAAGAAAGUUGUGAAAGCAACCUGACGGUACCAGAGGAAUCAGCAUCGGCUAACUCCGUGCCAGCAGCCGCGGUAAGACGGAGGAUGCAAGCGUUAUCCGGAAUGAUUGGGCGUAAAGCGUCCGCAGGUGGCAGUUCAAGUCUGCUGUCAAAGACCGGGGCUUAACUUCGGAAAGGCAGUGGAAACUGAACAGCUAGAGUAUGGUAGGGGCAGAGGGAAUUCCUGGUGUAGCGGUGAAAUGCGUAGAGAUCAGGAAAAACAUCGGUGGCGAAGGCGCUCUGCUGGACCAUAACUGACACUCAGGGACGAAAGCUAGGGGAGCG